This 486-nucleotide ribosomal RNA is filed under the name uncultured bacterium. RNAcentral's name for it is "partial 16S ribosomal RNA". It matches the Rfam family "Bacterial small subunit ribosomal RNA", at positions 30 to 507 of the family's 1533-position model. The record is from RNAcentral.
AUUGAACGCUGGCGGCAUGCCUUACACAUGCAAGUCGAACGGCAGCACGGGUGCUUGCACCUGGUUGCGAGUGGCGAACGGGUGAGUAAUACAUCGGAACAUGUCCUGUAGUGGGGGAUAGCCCGGCGAAAGCCGGAUUAAUACCGCAUACGAUCUACGGAUGAAAGCGGGGGACCUUCGGGCCUCGCGCUAUAGGGUUGGCCGAUGGCUGAUUAGCUAGUUGGUGGGGUAAAGGCCUACCAAGGCGACGAUCAGUAGCUGGUCUGAGAGGACGACCAGCCACACUGGGACUGAGACACGGCCCAGACUCCUACGGGAGGCAGCAGUGGGGAAUUUUGGACAAUGGGCGAAAGCCUGAUCCAGCAAUGCCGCGUGUGUGAAGAAGGCCUUCGGGUUGUAAAGCACUUUUGUCCGGAAAGAAAUCCUUGGACUUAAUACGGUCGGGGGAUGACGGUACCGGAAGAAUAAGCACCGGCUAACUACGUG